This 253-nucleotide ribosomal RNA is filed under the name uncultured bacterium. RNAcentral describes it as "partial 16S ribosomal RNA". It matches the Rfam family "Bacterial small subunit ribosomal RNA", at positions 524 to 776 of the family's 1533-position model. The record is from RNAcentral.
CACGGGGGGAGCAAGCGUUGUUCGGAAUCACUGGGCGUAAAGGGCGUGUAGGCGGUCAAGUAAGUGGAAUGUGAAAUGCCCCGGCUCACCCGGGGACCUGCAUCCCAAACUGCUUGGCUUGAGUAUGGGAGAGGAUGAGGGAAUUCCUGGUGUAGCGGUGAAAUGCGUAGAUAUCAGGAGGAACACUGGUGGCGAAGGCGGAUCUCUGGACCAGUUCUGACACUGAUGAGCGAAAGCCAGGGGAGCAAACAGG